Cyprinus carpio (common carp) is the source of this 687-nucleotide long non-coding RNA. RefSeq lists it as uncharacterized. The transcript is spliced from 5 exons. NCBI's taxonomy places the organism in Eukaryota, Metazoa, Chordata, Actinopteri, Cypriniformes, Cyprinidae. The record is from RefSeq and is a predicted model, not a curated record.
UCUGUCUUAAUUUGUUUUUCUAUCUUUUUAGCCCCCCUAAAAUGAAAAUCCUAGAAUCGCCCCUGCAUAUACCUGUGUUUUUGUUUGUUUGUUUUUUCCUGUGUAAAUGGUUUUGUUCUUAGUCUUUCAUUCAAACACAUUUUUUUUUCUGUCUAUUCUGAACUUUUUUUUCUCCUAUUGUUGAUAUCUGAGCUGUUUUGUUUCACUGUCAAAAGCCAGUAAGCCAGGUUUAUUUUCAAUUCAAUUCAAAUCACACAUUUUCAUAUUUUGCUUUCGUUUUGUUUACUACAUAAUGAAUUCAAAAUCACGAACAAGUAUUCUUGAGUUUCACAUUUUACAUACUAAGGAAGUUGUAAUAAUUUUGUUCCUAUGAGUCAACUGAAAGCUCCUCCUUACUUAGUCUACAUCUCUCUUGCUUUAUUCCUCUCACUUACGCUUCAGUCUCUAACUUCAUACCAAUGUGGACAUGAGUAUUCCAGGAAUAAUGCUGCUCCGUCAGAAUUUUCUCAUCAUUCUUGUGUUCUUUGGGAUGGUAUUGAGUGGGCUCUUGUACCUGAACAAUAACCAGAACAGCUGCAAUCAGCAGAAAAUAGAACGAGUCGUCAUAGAGCUAAAAUGGAGGCAAAAGACCUUUGGAUUGCGCUCAUUGCCAGGGUUGUUGUACAACCAGCCGAGUGUGUUGGUAGG